ACUGAUAAAUCACAUAUUGCCAGUUCCUCUGCUACUCCCUUUAUUUCAGCAAAUAAUUCUCAGUGCCCUGGGAUGCCUACUUUAGGCUCCCCCAAUAGUACCCAGACUGGUUCUCCUGCUACGCCUGUUUAGGGACUACUUAAGAAGGUUACAUCUUCCACUGGUCCCUGGUCCAAGUCUUUGCUUCAGCAGGCCAGCAUGGUGGAUAAGUUAACGCAGGAUGUUGUUGGCAAUACUCUUUCUGAUGAAGACCUUAGAAGAAGCAGAAGGACUGCUAAUCACAACAAAGGAUUCAAAGGUUCUGGAUGUAAAGAUAAAAAUUGCAUUGGGUGUUCGGUAAAGCCACCUUU
Molecule: long non-coding RNA, 350 nt
Filed under: Setaria viridis
Lineage: Eukaryota; Viridiplantae; Streptophyta; Magnoliopsida; Poales; Poaceae
Description: long non-coding RNA (SVIR_LNC008828)
Source: RNAcentral